GACGAACGCUGGCGGCGUGCUUAACACACGCAAGUCGAACGGAAAAGCCCUGCUUUUGUGGGAUGCUCGAGUGGCGAACAGGUGAGUAACACGUGAGUAACCUGCCCUUUACUUUGGGAUAACUUCAUGGAACUGGGGCUAAUACCGGAUAUGAGCACCUUCUACAUGGGUGGGAUUGGAAAAUUUCGGAGGUUGGGGAUGCACGCGCGGUUUAUCAGCUUGUUGGUGGGGUGGUGGCUUACCAAGGCAUUGACGGGUAGCCGGCCUGAGAGGGUGACCGGCCACAUUGGGACAGAGAUGCGGCCCGGACUCCUACGGGAGGCAGCAGUGGGGAAUAUUGCACAAUGGGCGGAAGCCUGAUGCAGCAACGCCGCGUGCGGGAUGACGGCCUUCGGGUUGUAAACCGCUUUAGCCUGUGACGAAGCGUGAGUGACGGUAAUGGGUAAAGAAGCACCGGCUAACUACGUG
RNAcentral lists this ribosomal RNA (468 nucleotides) under uncultured bacterium. RNAcentral's name for it is "partial 16S ribosomal RNA". It matches the Rfam family "Bacterial small subunit ribosomal RNA", at positions 28 to 507 of the family's 1533-position model. The record is from RNAcentral.